ACUGUUUAAUUAAAACAAAGCAUUGCAAUGGUUCCCGUGAAUGCUCACGCAAUGUGAUUUUUGCCCAGUGCUCUGAAUGUUAAAGUGAAGAAAUUCAACCAAGCGCAGGUAAACGACUGGAGUAACUAUGACUCUCUUAAGGUAGCCAAAUGCCUCAUCAUCUAAUUAGUGAUGCACAUAACUGGAUUAA
This 190-nucleotide ribosomal RNA is filed under the name Olea europaea subsp. europaea. RNAcentral's name for it is "LSU_rRNA_bacteria". It matches the Rfam family "Eukaryotic large subunit ribosomal RNA", at positions 2137 to 2327 of the family's 3401-position model. The record is from RNAcentral. Lineage: Eukaryota; Viridiplantae; Streptophyta; Magnoliopsida; Lamiales; Oleaceae.